This 450-nucleotide ribosomal RNA is filed under the name uncultured bacterium. Its description in RNAcentral is "partial 16S ribosomal RNA". It matches the Rfam family "Bacterial small subunit ribosomal RNA", at positions 354 to 796 of the family's 1533-position model. The record is from RNAcentral.
GUGGGGAAUUUUGUACAAUGGGCGAAAGCCUGAUCCAGCCAUGCCGCGUGCAGGAUGAAGGCCUUCGGGUUGUAAACUGCUUUUGUACGGAACGAAAAGACUCCUUCUAAUAAAGGGGGUCCAUGACGGUACCGUAAGAAUAAGCACCGGCUAACUACGUGCCAGCAGCCGCGGUAAUACGUAGGGUGCAAGCGUUAAUCGGAAUUACUGGGCGUAAAGCGUGCGCAGGCGGUUAUAUAAGACAGAUGUGAAAUCCCCGGGCUCAACCUGGGAACUGCAUUUGUGACUGUAUAGCUAGAGUACGGUAGAGGGGGAUGGAAUUCCGCGUGUAGCAGUGAAAUGCGUAGAUAUGCGGAGGAACACCGAUGGCGAAGGCAAUCCCCUGGACCUGUACUGACGCUCAUGCACGAAAGCGUGGGGAGCAAACAGGAUUAGAAACCCGAGUAGUCC